Molecule: transfer RNA, 75 nt
Filed under: Caenorhabditis japonica
Lineage: Eukaryota; Metazoa; Nematoda; Chromadorea; Rhabditida; Rhabditidae
Description: tRNA-Ile (TAT) (tRNA-Ile-TAT-3-1)
Rfam family: tRNA
About the family: Transfer RNA (tRNA) molecules are approximately 80 nucleotides in length. Their secondary structure includes four short double-helical elements and three loops (D, anti-codon, and T loops). Further hydrogen bonds mediate the characteristic L-shaped molecular structure. tRNAs have two regions of fundamental functional importance: the anti-codon, which is responsible for specific mRNA codon recognition, and the 3' end, to which the tRNAs corresponding amino acid is attached (by aminoacyl-tRNA synthetases). tRNAs cope with the degeneracy of the genetic code in two manners: having more than one tRNA (with a specific anti-codon) for a particular amino acid; and 'wobble' base-pairing, i.e. permitting non-standard base-pairing at the 3rd anti-codon position.
Source: RNAcentral
ACCUGUGUUGGCGCAGUCGGUUAGCGCGUGGUACUUAUAAUGCCAAGGUCGCCAGUUCGAGCCUGGCAUGGGGCA